This 822-nucleotide ribosomal RNA is filed under the name Vietnamorpha spiralis. RNAcentral describes it as "partial 28S ribosomal RNA". It matches the Rfam family "Eukaryotic large subunit ribosomal RNA", at positions 355 to 817 of the family's 3401-position model. Lineage: Eukaryota; Metazoa; Arthropoda; Diplopoda; Polydesmida; Paradoxosomatidae. The record is from RNAcentral.
GAGGGAAAGUUGCAAAGAACUUUGAAGAGAGAGUUCAAGAGUGCGUGAAACCGUUCGGAGGUAAACGGGUGGGAGCGCGAAGGUCGAACGGACGGGGAGGGAUUCAACUUGGCGUGACGGCGUCCCCUGGCUGGCGCUCGGGGUCCGGCGGCUUCGGCUGUUCGGGACCUCGGCGUUUCGGCUGGGGUGCUUUGCCAGUCUCCGCCUUGUGCAUUUCCCUGUUCCCCCUCUCCUAGUAGGACGCCGUGACCGGCUGCUGAGGAGAGCCCAGGAGCUGGCGGGGGUAGCUGCGCGGACGAGUGUGGGAUUCGUUCCCUGCGUCCGGUCUGUCUGCCCCCCGCCUGUGUAGCGGGCGCUCUCUCCGGCCGAGAAAUGCUGUGCGAGUCUGGGGCAUUUACUGUCCUGACUCGUCCAAGCGCGUGCCCACGAUCUGUCGGUGCGGGUCUAUAGAACCCAACGGGUGGCGGCGGGUGGCUCCUGGCCAGCUUCGUGCUGUGUUCCAGGAGCUUCUGCGCGUCAGCCGCCGUCGGUCAGGGUGCGGACUCCCGCAUUUGGGGCGCUGGGGGUCAACGGCGAGUAGGUCGGUUUCCCACCCGACCCGUCUUGAAACACGGACCAAGAAGUCUAACGUGUGGGCGAGUCUUCGGGGACUUUGUGAACCCUUUGAAGGCGAAAUAAAAGUGAAGGUCUGUCUUGCCGGGUCUCUGAUCUGUGCAGGCAGGCUGUAGUGGGAUCCCCCGUCUAAGGUCGGGGGCGCACCACUGGCCCGUCCUAUGACCGCUUCGCCGGUCGGGCGGAGCAAGAGCCCACGCGUUGGGACCC